This 28-nucleotide non-coding RNA is filed under the name Rattus norvegicus (Norway rat). Lineage: Eukaryota; Metazoa; Chordata; Mammalia; Rodentia; Muridae. The record is from RNAcentral.
AAUCUUGGUAACUCGAGUUUGAGUCAAG